Dermacentor andersoni is the source of this 188-nucleotide small nuclear RNA. RefSeq annotates it as U2 spliceosomal RNA. The record is from RefSeq and is a predicted model, not a curated record. Lineage: Eukaryota; Metazoa; Arthropoda; Arachnida; Ixodida; Ixodidae.
AUGGCCGACGCGGGUCUAAGUGUAGCAUCAGUUCUUAUCAGCUUAAUAUAUGAUACGGGUUGCAUUUGGACCUCAGGUAUUGAACUUAGUUUUGCAAGUUGGUGGAGUUGGCGGAGUGCUGGGAGCCUGCUGCAACUUCGCCGCUGGUCGGCCGGUAUUGCGCUAUCUUCGGUAUCAGCCUAUGUAUG